CUCCACCGUGUUCCCAGACACCGUGCGGGUAAUUUCCGGAGCUGCACAUGAAAUACGCGAAGCCAGGCCAUUACCUCUCCCUGUCUGAGCCAUCAGCGAUCUUGGCAAAGAGCGCACUGCCUCCUUCUCAGAAACUUCCAGUGACCCGCGGAAAAGCAGGGGCUGGUGAUUGGUCCAGUCUUAUGGAGCCAAUGCAAUGAAUCUGAGGCUUGAAGAGUGACUUGCUGAAGUCCUAUGGCACCCACAUGUGCCCCAGGUCUUUGACUGUUGUGGAAGCUGCUCCAGUCCUUACCACACCUCGGUAGGAGAGGUCUUCGGACAACUUAGAGAUAAACACUUGUCAUCUCUUUUCUCAGAGAAUUCAGUGUGACUUGCUGUUGAGAAUUGUGACAGGAUGAUUUCGUAUUCUGUAGAGGUAUCAUAUGAAGAUGACCAAACCUGCCCUGGGAAAAUGCAACUGAAUGUAGAAAAUUACAAGAAAGGAAAACAGAAAAUACAAAUAUGCAAAUCCCAUGUACUCACGAGAUUGAUAUAUUUGAGCUUCCUCUGUGGCUGUGUUUCCCAGGAGCCAAAGAAAAAAAGGAGAAACAGGUUGUCAUUUACUCUCUGGAAAAUAGUAGUUCUUGAGCCAAAGAAAUCUUUUGCAAGAUUUAAAUCUCAGAAAAGUCUUUACCAUUUAUUCAGCAAGUAUUUAUUUACUGUGCAUCAGGUCCCACUCUGGCAUGGACAUAGUUGGGGAGGGAGAUGUAAAACAUCAUACUAUAUUGUGUAUAUCAUAAGAGGGAUCAAAACUGAGAUGGGUAAGAUGAUAAGAGAGAAUAUAGAAAAACUUGGCUUUUUGGGCAGUUAUGGAAUGUUUGGAGAAGGUGAUGUUGCAGUUGAGAAUGGGCUGGAGACAAUGUUUUAACAGUAUGGAGCACUGAAAGAACAGACAUUGUGUUCAGCAAGAACAGCAGAAGCAAAGGCCCUGAGGCUGGUAAGAACUUGCUACAUUCCAGAAACUUCAGGAAGGACAGUGUGAGCUAGAGAGGGCAAGGAGAAUAGCCUGAGAUGAGCCCUGAGAGUAGGAAGGAAGAGACUCCCAACCCAUCCCUACCCCUUAGAGCCUUCCUGGUCUUGUUAAGAUGUGGUCUUUACCCUGGAGAGAGCCAUUAAGGUUCUGCAGGAUUUCAAGCAAGAAAGUGGCUCAUCAGAUUUGGAGACCAUGAGGAGGUUAUGGAGCUGUCCUUGUCAGAGGUGAGAGUGAUCUAGAAAUGCAGGGAGAAAUGGAGAUACUCAAAAGAUUCUGGAAUUGGAAGUCCACUAGCUUGAUGCAGCUACAUCAGGGGAGGGCUGCUGCUGCACAGAGACAAGUGGUGGGUGAUGUUCCUCACAUCUCCCAAGUCCCAGAAGUCAACACUGUGGAAGAAAGGUGGGGUGGAAGUCUAGCCUUUAUGGAACUGGUUGAUAUGGUCCUUCCUGCCUCAAUUUGCUGGGUAAUAGGAGACACUGAGAGCAAACAUCCGUACACAAAGCCCAAAUGUGCAUGCUGCACAGUCACUACUGCUCACAUCUGGCAGUUUUCACAAAGCAAUUGGAAAAAAAAGUUAUUUUUGGUUCUUUUUUGUUAUAAUCAUGGGUGGUGGGGUUUGGUCUCCAUGGUAAAAGGAGCAGGCUUCUGGCAGAGCAAAGCAGCCACAGAUUUUCCUGAAUAAUGGGUCUCCCUCCAUGGACAAAGCCUGGGACUCCUCGAUGACUCACCUCUGAGGGGCUCAGCUUGUCUUGGGAUCCAAGAAAGGAAGAGAGCUGGCGCUAGGCCUGGUGACAUAGUGGCUUUUCACUCACUUUUUUGUCAUUGCCCCAGUGGGCACAUCUGCCCCCAGAAUUUGUCAGUUUGUGUGAAGAUACAAUGAAGAUUUGUUCCCUGUAUCCGAUGCGAUGACCUCAUACUUCUUUAAGGCAGAGUAAGAGCUGGGGCGUGGGAAGUAAGAAAUGAAUGAAGUGAAAUGGGCAGAUUAUAAAGUUAGAACUUCAUGUUGGGUAAAAUCUGGAAUGCCUCUUAUCUGGGAAACUAAAAAUCCAGGGCAUUAACCACGUUGGCAACAAGGAUCCAAGUUUCCUCCUGUUUAGCUAAUUUAAAAAGGAGUUAUGAACAUCCAAACCACUGGGGUGACGUGUGUAGACUUAUUUUCCU
Oryctolagus cuniculus (rabbit) is the source of this 2173-nucleotide long non-coding RNA. RefSeq lists it as uncharacterized. The record is from RefSeq and is a predicted model, not a curated record. Lineage: Eukaryota; Metazoa; Chordata; Mammalia; Lagomorpha; Leporidae.